This 253-nucleotide ribosomal RNA is filed under the name uncultured bacterium. RNAcentral describes it as "partial 16S ribosomal RNA". It matches the Rfam family "Bacterial small subunit ribosomal RNA", at positions 524 to 776 of the family's 1533-position model. The record is from RNAcentral.
UACGGAGGGUGCAAGCGUUGUUCGGAAUCAUUGGGCGUAAAGGGCGCGUAGGCGGCCCGCAAAGUCAGGUGUGAAAUCCCGCGGCUCAACCGCGGAACUGCGCCUGAUACUGGCGGGCUUGAGUACGGGAGAGGGUAGCGGAAUUCCGAGUGUAGAGGUGAAAUUCGUAGAUAUUCGGAGGAACACCAGUGGCGAAGGCGGCUACCUGGACCGAUACUGACGCUGAGGCGCGAAAGCGUGGGGAGCAAACAGG